UACGAAGGGGGCUAGCGUUGCUCGGAAUCACUGGGCGUAAAGCGCACGUAGGCGGACUCUUAAGUCAGGGGUGAAAUCCUGGAGCUCAACUCCAGAACUGCCUUUGAUACUGAGAGCCUUGAGUCCGGAAGAGGUAAGUGGAACUGCGAGUGUAGAGGUGAAAUUCGUAGAUAUUGGGAAGAACACCAGUGGCGAAGGCGGCUCACUGGCCCGUAACUGACGCUGAGGUGCGAAAGCGUGGGGAGCAAACAGG
This 253-nucleotide ribosomal RNA is filed under the name uncultured bacterium. RNAcentral describes it as "partial 16S ribosomal RNA". It matches the Rfam family "Bacterial small subunit ribosomal RNA", at positions 524 to 776 of the family's 1533-position model. The record is from RNAcentral.